Molecule: ribosomal RNA, 482 nt
Filed under: uncultured bacterium
Lineage: Bacteria
Description: partial 16S ribosomal RNA
Rfam family: Bacterial small subunit ribosomal RNA
Source: RNAcentral
AUUGAACGCUGGCGGCAUGCCUUACACAUGCAAGUCGAACGGUAACAGGUCUUCGGAUGCUGACGAGUGGCGCACGGGUGAGUAAUACAUCGGAACGUGCCCGAUCGUGGGGGAUAACGAAGCGAAAGCUUUGCUAAUACCGCAUACGAUCUACGGAUGAAAGCAGGGGACCGCAAGGCCUUGCGCGAACGGAGCGGCCGAUGGCAGAUUAGGUAGUUGGUGGGAUAAAAGCUUACCAAGCCGACGAUCGGUAGCUGGUCUGAGAGGACGACCAGCCACACUGGGACUGAGACACGGCCCAGACUCCUACGGGAGGCAGCAGUGGGGAAUUUUGGACAAUGGGCGAAAGCCUGAUCCAGCCAUGCCGCGUGCAGGAUGAAGGCCUUCGGGUUGUAAACUGCUUUUGUACGGAACGAAAAGACUCUGGUUAAUACCUGGGGUCCAUGACGGUACCGUAAGAAUAAGCACCGGCUAACUACGUG